GACGAACGCUGGCGGCGUGCUUAACACAUGCAAGUCGAACGGAAAGGCCCUGCUUUUGUGGUGUGCUCGAGUGGCGAACGGGUGAGUAACACGUGAGUAACCUGCCCUUGACUUUGGGAUAACUUCAGGAAACUGGGGCUACUACCGGAUAGGAGCUCCUGCUGCAUGGUGGGGGUUGGAAAUUUUCGGCGGUUGGGGAUGGACUCGCGGCUUAUCAGCUUGUUGGUGGGGUAGUGGCUUACCAAGGCUUUGACGGGUAGCCGGCCUGAGAGGGUGACCGGCCACAUGGGGACUGAGAGACGGACCAGACUCCAACGGGAGGCAGCAGUGGGGAAUAUGGCACAAUGGGCGGAAGCCUGAUGCAGAAACGCCGCGUGCGGGAUGACGGCCUUCGGGUUGUAAACCGCUUUCGCCUGUGACGAAGCGUGAGUGACGGUAAUGGGUAAAGAAGCACCGGCUAACUACGUG
Molecule: ribosomal RNA, 468 nt
Filed under: uncultured bacterium
Lineage: Bacteria
Description: partial 16S ribosomal RNA
Rfam family: Bacterial small subunit ribosomal RNA
Source: RNAcentral